GGGCGCGUAGCUCAGCGGGAGAGCACUGCAUUGACAUUGCAGGGGUCACUGGUUCAAUCCCAGUCGUGCCCA
Molecule: transfer RNA, 72 nt
Filed under: Aureimonas phyllosphaerae
Lineage: Bacteria; Pseudomonadati; Pseudomonadota; Alphaproteobacteria; Hyphomicrobiales; Aurantimonadaceae
Also listed under: 1 other name
Description: tRNA_Val_GAC
Rfam family: tRNA
About the family: Transfer RNA (tRNA) molecules are approximately 80 nucleotides in length. Their secondary structure includes four short double-helical elements and three loops (D, anti-codon, and T loops).
Source: RNAcentral